GUCCCGCAACGAGCGCAACCCUCGUUUUUAGUUGCCAAUUUAUUGGGUUUUCUAGAGAGACUGCCGGUGACAAACCGGAGGAAGGUGAGGAUGACGUCAAGUCAGCAUGCCCCUUAUGUCCUGGGCCACACACGUGCUACAAUGGCGGAGACAAAGAGUCGCAAACCUGCGAAGGCUAGCUAAUCUCAUAAACUUCGUCUAAGUUCGGAUUGUAGGCUGCAACUCGCCUACAUGAAGUUGGAAUCGCUAGUAAUCGCUGGUCAGCUAUACAGCGGUGAAUUCGUUCCCGGGCCUUGUACACACCGCCCGUCACACCAUGGGAGCUGGUCAUACCCAAUACCGUUAGUCUAACCAUUCGGAGGACAGCGCUUAAGGUAGGGCUAGUGACUGGGGUGAAGUCGAAACAAGGUAGCCG
This 415-nucleotide ribosomal RNA is filed under the name Strombidinopsis acuminata. RNAcentral describes it as "partial Bacterial small subunit ribosomal RNA". It matches the Rfam family "Bacterial small subunit ribosomal RNA", at positions 1084 to 1502 of the family's 1533-position model. The record is from RNAcentral. Lineage: Eukaryota; Ciliophora; Spirotrichea; Choreotrichida; Strombidinopsidae.